UCCCCGGAAGUCCAGUGGUUAGGACUACAGGCUUUCACUGCCAAGGACACAGGUUCAAUCCCUGAUUGGGGAA
RNAcentral lists this transfer RNA (73 nucleotides) under Bos taurus (domestic cattle). It matches the Rfam family "tRNA". Rfam says of the family: Transfer RNA (tRNA) molecules are approximately 80 nucleotides in length. The record is from Rfam by way of RNAcentral. Lineage: Eukaryota; Metazoa; Chordata; Mammalia; Artiodactyla; Bovidae. RNAcentral also lists the same sequence under 5 other names.